GAUGGAUGUAAAUAAUCAGAAGUCUUUCAAGCUGAAUAGUUGGUAGGCUGUCUCAUAGUCCCAUCAUUUGUACAUCCAUCCUUUUGCCAUGUCAUGAAAAACAUUGUUUUGGCUGAAAUAUAGUCUCUCAAGCCUAGGUUUCAAUGGAAAAUGACGUAAAACCUUAGCAGAAUUUUUUUGUUCACCUUUUUUUGAAGUUCUCAUAUUAUCCUUUUAAUUUUUUUCAUGUUUUGUCCAUCUAGAGGCACCACAUAUGGCACAUGAAGAUGCUUCUACAUACUCCUUCCAAUACAACAUGCAGUCAUUGGGACAAGCAUCAAUUCUUCUAUAAUCGAUCCUAGAUUAGCAAUGAUCUUUCUAGUCUCGU
This 367-nucleotide long non-coding RNA is filed under the name Phoenix dactylifera (date palm). RNAcentral describes it as "long non-coding RNA (PDAC_LNC007256)". Lineage: Eukaryota; Viridiplantae; Streptophyta; Magnoliopsida; Arecales; Arecaceae. The record is from RNAcentral.